Molecule: ribosomal RNA, 903 nt
Filed under: uncultured bacterium
Lineage: Bacteria
Description: bacterial SSU rRNA
Rfam family: Bacterial small subunit ribosomal RNA
Source: RNAcentral
UAGAGUUUGAUUUUGGCUCAGGAUGAACGCUAGCGGCAGGCCUAAUACAUGCAAGUYGAACGGACGGUAGCCAUCCCKUUAGUGGCGCUCGGGUGBGUAACGCGUAACCAACCUACCCCMCCAAUGGGGGAUAGCCCGCCGAAAGGCGGAUUAAUACCGCAUAAGCUUGAUGACCGGCAUCGGUUAUUUAGUAAAGAUUGAUUGGUUGUGGAUGGGGUUGCGUAGCAUUAGCUAGUUGGCGGGGUAAGGGCCCACCAAGGCGACGAUGCUUAGGGGACCUGAGAGGGUGAUCCCCCACACUGGCACUGAGAUACGGGCCAGACUCCUACGGGAGGCAGCAGUAGGGAAUAUUGGGCAAUGGGCGAGAGCCUGACCCAGCCAUGCCGCGUGCCGGAUGAAGGCCUUCUGGGUUGUAAACGGCUUUUCUCAGGGAAGAAAAAGACCUUGCGAGGUACACUGACGGUACCUGAGGGAUAAGCACCGGCUAACUCCGUGCCAGCAGCCGCGGUAAUACGGAGGGUGCAAGCGUUGUCCGGAUUUAUUGGGUUUAAAGGGUGCGUAGGUGGCCGGGUAAGUCCGGGGUGAAAGCCCACAGCUCAACUGUGGAACUGCCCUGGAUACUGCCCGGCUUGAGACUCGUCGAGGGUGGCGGAAUGGACGGUGUAGCGGUGAAAUGCAUAGAUACCGUCCAGAACCCCAAUUGCGUAGGCAGCUGCCUAGGCGAGAUCUGACACUGAGGCACGAAAGCGUGGGGAGCGAACAGGAUUAGAUACCCUGGUAGUCCACGCCGUAAACGAUGGAUACUCGUUGCCAGCGAUAGAGAGUUGGUGACUUAGCGAAAGCGGUAAGUAUCCCACCUGGGGAGUACGCUCGCAAGAGUGAAACUCAAAUGAAUUGACGGGG